This 449-nucleotide ribosomal RNA is filed under the name uncultured bacterium. Its description in RNAcentral is "bacterial SSU rRNA". It matches the Rfam family "Bacterial small subunit ribosomal RNA", at positions 330 to 793 of the family's 1533-position model. The record is from RNAcentral.
GCCAGACUCCUACGGGAGGCAGCAGUGGGGAAUAUUGGACAAUGGGGGGAACCCUGAUCCAGCGACGCCGCGUGAGUGAAGAAGUAUUUCGGUAUGUAAAGCUCUAUCAGCAGGGAAGAAAGAAAUGACGGUACCUGACUAAGAAGCCCCGGCUAACUACGUGCCAGCAGCCGCGGUAAUACGUAGGGGGCAAGCGUUAUCCGGAUUCACUGGGUGUAAAGGGAGCGUAGACGGCGACGCAAGUCUGGAGUGAAAGCCCGGGGCCCAACCCCGGGACUGCUCUGGAAACUGCGUCGCUGGAGUACGGGAGGGGCAGGCGGAAUUCCUGGUGUAGCGGUGAAAUGCGUAGAUAUCAGGAGGAACACCGGCGGCGAAGGCGGCCUGCUGGAUCGUGACUGACGUUGAGGCUCGAGAGCGUGGGGAGCAAACAGGAUUAGAUACCCUUGUAG